CCAAUUGAGUUCCGUGUAACUAUAGCGAACCGCUUUUCUCUUCCUUGACAUAAGGACUGUACAUGACAUAACGACCACUUUAGUUUAAGGUGGACUUAACUAAUUAAACCAAUUGAGUUCCGUGUAACUAUAGCAUCCAUCAUUCCUUGAUCAUAGAUUAUUAUAAACUAGGAUAAAUAAGGAUUGUACAUGACAUAACGACCAUUCAUUUACAUGACAAACGGGCGUAAGGCUCCGACAAACUUCGACAUUAGGACGGAGGAUCAUACUUUUCUUUUCUUUCGUUUCGUUUCGUUUCGUUUCCUUACAUAGUCUUAUUUCGACGUCGCCUCGACCCUUUUUUUCGUCGUCGCGUGACCUUUUUUCAUUACUCGUUUCCAGGAGAGUAGGUGUAGGAAAACGGAAACAGUCUCUCGUGGACGACGAUGUGGGUCGAUGACACGUAGGACGCCGACCACAUCGAAUUGUCCUUCCCUGUGGGGUCUCCUCCUCGUCUCGACGACGAGUGUCUCCACUGCAGAAGAGAGACGGCAGCUAACAGAGUGCCGUUCGAGCCCUCGUCCGCUAAAUCAAGCUGACUCUGAGUGUUUAGGUCGUUCCUUAAGGAGAGGUACACUCAAGGAGAAGUGGUCCUAGCUCAACGAAAAGGCCUCGACUUACUCGUCCUGUAGGUAGGUAGGUAGAGUUUCGUUUUAGGUCUUUCAAGUUAAUUACCGCUACCACGACCUACGUAAACGUAGGAUGAACCCGCUGAACGAGUCCGUCCGACGUCGUCUUCUCGACCCUUGCUACGACCCGCAGAGGCCGCUCUAACUGUUCUACCCGCUGUUCGAAGCCCUGGAGUUUUUGAAGGAGCGGCUACGGCUAUCCUCCUUGUAGUGGCUGCUCUGACAGGUUCUCACCCACCCCCUCGAAUUUGCACGGUACAUGCUUCGACGACUAUAGUAGCUGGAAACGGUCGAGUUUCGGUACCUCGCACCUAGUAGGAGGCAUCUACGUCCCACAAAGUUAGGGAACGAGAAGACAUACGCUUUAGGGAAAGUACGAGUACUUUAGCCGUGGGCGUAGUUCCGUGAGUUGGUCUCCGAGCCGUGGUAGUUCCUCGCCUCGCGACGAAAGUUGAAGUAGUUAGAGCCCAGGAUGCUAGUAGUAUCGUCGUUACACUUGCGGAGAGCAGUACCACUAGGGUCGGUGCUCCGCAGUCCCCUCGAGCUGGCCAGCCCACACCAACCCCUAGUCUAGCUUCUUCUAUGAUCUCGUGACCACCGGGUCUAGUACGUUUGUUCGCUCCUCCAGUUACCACCAACGAUAGCAUCCACAACCACGCUAACCGUUCUGUUGGGAGCGAGUCUUCCAGAAGUUACUGCUCCGGUAGGUUCCACUCAAGUCAUUUUUCUAUACCAACUCGCAGUUGGUUUUGAAGUUACUCCGACUCGACGACUCUUCUCAGUAGUAGCUUCGGCCUCCUCUGCGGGUCAGUCGACCUUUACGUGUCCGUUGCGAAGUGUCUUCGGAGUUCCCACGGAACUAACCGGUGUUCUGGAACGAACAUUACCUACUACACACCUUGGUACCUCGUACCCUACCACACGAGUUUUAUGGGAAUCAGCUACAACAACGAAGUCCGUCGGCACAGGAGUAGUGGUGAUCUCUACUUCCACAACGGGCUUCCUACUGUCGGUGUACCGGGAUGGUGGUGCAGCUACGUAAUCGUGGGCUGCUACGAACCAGUAACGAGUUCUUCGUCCAUGAGAGUUCACUCUAUCUACUUAUGGUGUAGUGAUACGAUUUCCUGUAGCCUGACUUUUAAUAUGUUUUUACACCACCAAAUGGUGAACGGCAGUUUCAUUACCCUCCUGAGAACGCAUCUUCUCCCCUCAGCGCAGCUCUGACCCUCGUCCAAAACCUACUAAGAUUUACCAGUUAUUGACUUUACGGGGUUCUCGAGUCGAUACGUCAUAUGAACUCGAUAGUUCUAUACGGAGGAGUAGACUUCGUCACGAAAGAUAUAAUGAGAGAAGAAGGAGUUUUAUUUUGAAUAAUACGUGUACUUCAGCAACGGAACACCUAAUCGCUUCCUAAACAAGUACCUUUGAGUUUACUAGAUCUUCUUAACCCUUAUUUAAUGAUGUUCCUCGACUAUAUAGCCUUGGAAUAUCUCUGUCUAUUUAACAUACAUUUAGUGGAAUCAACGUCGUACGUACUACAAUAAGCGAGUAAACGAGUCAUAUACUAUUUUCUACUUCGUGAGUAUCAAGUACUACCUCUGUAGCUAUUAGAUUGAUUAGGAGUAAGUGUUUUCAAAGAAGCCAAUAGUUAUCUUUGGUUGGUGAACGUCAGACCACUAUAACUGACCUUUAGAAAUGUCCCCGUCUUUAGUCACUCUUGUAAUUAGAGUUGAUAAGUCUAGUUCUACUUCGGGUCACUAGAUAACCAAUGAAAAAGACCAGAUGCCUAAGAUGUAUAUCUUAGACAUCUACACCGACGUAACCAACUUCGUAACGUGGACUCUAUACACCGUGAUGAUUUAUGACUAUAUAGACAUGAAGGCCACUUGAAACUGUUCUACUUUAACAACGUUAAGGAAUCCAAACUACCUACAUAUUUAAAUCACUUAGAAGGACUAUCGUAACACUUCGAACCGGUCGACUCCAAUGAACUAGAAGGGUCGUCUACAUGCUAUGGAUCUCCCAAGGAACCAGACUGUUCAUACUCCUCCGAUGUACCCAAAGCCCGGGUGUACCUACCACUAACCACGUCAAACCUGCUCAACUCCGGAGAAAGGGUUGAGUCUAAAGAACUUAAUUAUGUAAACCUCUUACAUAGACGACGAAGUAAACGAUGUUUACGAUCCCAACCACUCUUUUAUGUAGAAUAGCUGCAUAAGAACAUGACGUGAUCGUUUCACCCUCUACUGCCCAACCAGUUUCUUUUUCUUCCACAGAGACUCCUUCUCGUUGUUGCUUAGCUCUUCCACAAGCUACUCGAGACAGGAGGUGGGUCACAUCUUAAAUAAGUGUAGCUACCCAUAAAACCGGUCGAUGAGGGCUCAACCUACUACAGGUGCAGUUUCCACAGGGACUUGUUGAAUUUCAAAGAGUGUAAAAGACUGGAUCGAACAACGUUUGUUGAAGGGUUACCCAACACAGUCGAGGGGAUGGACGUGAAGAAAGUCCAGCGGGCACGAGGUACGUAGUCCGCACAACCCUGACCUAAGAACGUCCGACACCGUUGAGGUAAAGGCUCAAGUUUUCUCUACUCGAAUUCUCUGUACCACCUUACCCUCCUCGUUCAUGUUCGGUACGCGGCGAAACCGAGUAAUUAACGUUUGACUCCGCACGAGGAGGACCGGAACGGAGGUUACGUUACCGAAACUUUCAAAAUAUGCAUGUACUACAGGUCGUGGAGUCGAUGGAACUUUUGAAAGGAAGACAAUGACUCGAAUGUCACCAAUCUUCAGAGCUGGAACUCUCCUAGUGGUUAGAGGGGUUAGACGUCUUCGAAUGGUAGUGGUAAACGGGUUUCAACUUCCACGACCCCUGAUAGGGACGUGAGCUGUCCAACCAGGAUCUCCUAAUGCGGUACGUUUGUGAAGGUCUUAUGUACGCUCCAUAUUUCGGUUUCGUAAAAGUCAAUAAGACGGCCGGUACCAACGAGAGAAGCCAUCGGGACCCUGUUAGACCAGAACUCACCCUGUUCAAGUCGGUACACCUCGUACAGUUCCGUAUACGUGGACUACCUCUGUUGGUUUCCUUUACCAUGCACAACAUGUGUUCUUCUCUGUUGGAGUUCAACCUAAGUUUAUAACCGAUGAGAAGGCAUAAACUUCUAUACUCCAAGUGUUUGAGAACCCAGACCGACAGUCCAUCGUAUUACUUGGUUGACUCGUAAAACGUACUGAGUCUUGAGAAGUUCUACCCGCUCUUACCAAGAACGGACUUACCGUCAUUUGACUUCAAUAGUCUACCGAGCCUACAGCCCCUUAUGUAGUAACCACGACGUCCUAUAGGAGAGGCAGGGACCGAGGAGUGUGGAAUGGUACUGGAGAGUCUGAGUCUAAGGUUUGAUCUCAAGUUAUCCUCUUAUGUGAGACGUUGAUGUCGGCAGCGUGACUCCCGCGACCGUUCCAACUUUCCGUGUACCUUUACGGACGUCCCUCUUCCCACCGUAGGUUUACUAGUUGCACUGCACAAGAACUGGUAGGUGUGCACGACGUACAACGUAUUGUAUCACUAUCUGUACCUCCUCCUCCUCCCACGUCCGUACGGCUCACUAGUCCUCCUGUUAAUGUAGCUCGUUCACGCCGCCCAUCGUCUACUCCUGCGGUAGUCCCACUCCCUACGUGAUAGGGUCGUAAACCAACGUAGACCUCCAUUUAAUGGUACAGAACCACACAAACAAACUUGAAACAGAUAAAUUAAUUAGACGUUAAGGGAGAAAGUAAACAACAACCAAUCAGGUGUGUUACCGACGUCUCCUCCUUGUUCUUCGUCAUUAUCAACGUAGACCGGGUCCUCUACUUUUGUUCCUUAUUCUUCGUGUUGCUGUUGCAAGAGGAGUGAUUUAAACCAUAAGAAAAAAAAGGGGACGAUAAUUACCACGAAGUUCAGCGUCUAGAGAAGAAUCAAGGAAGAAAACGUUCCCACUGUAAAUUAGUCACACGUUUCAUCUUACAUUGGAUGAUUGCCUCCCUCAUAUAUGAAACUGUUACCUUUUCGAACUAUGCUGAAUUUGGGGCGAGUCAGUCCAAUCUUCGCUACGACGUUUUUGUACUUAGAUACACCGUUUCUGUUUAAAAACAUGUACAUGGAAUAUAUAGCAGUUGUCGUUCGAAAACACUAGCUCUUCUGUUAAUUAUUACAUCCACGUACCUCUGCCGCACAAACACUAAACAUAAUAAAGUCAACAACGAAAAGACAUUGGACUGUGAAAAUAAAUACCCAGCUCAUUUUUUUAUGACAUCGACGUACUUCUGAUAAACACUACAGAUAGGA
This 4994-nucleotide ribosomal RNA is filed under the name Triticum aestivum (bread wheat). Its description in RNAcentral is "partial small subunit ribosomal RNA". Lineage: Eukaryota; Viridiplantae; Streptophyta; Magnoliopsida; Poales; Poaceae. The record is from RNAcentral.